Molecule: ribosomal RNA, 338 nt
Filed under: uncultured Bacillota bacterium
Lineage: Bacteria; Bacillati; Bacillota
Description: bacterial SSU rRNA
Rfam family: Bacterial small subunit ribosomal RNA
Source: RNAcentral
GAUGAACGCUGGCGGCGUGCUUAACACAUGCAAGUCGAACGAAGCAUUGAGAUGAAUUUUCUUCGGAAUUGAAGUCUUAAUGACUUAGUGGCGGACGGGUGAGUAACGCGUGGGUAACCUACCUUAUACAGGGGGAUAACAGUUGGAAACGACUGCUAAUACCGCAUAAGCCUACAGUAUCACAUGAUACAGUAAGAAAAGAUUUAUCGGUAUAAGAUGGACCCGCGUCUGAUUAGCUAGUUGGUGAGGUAAUGGCUCACCAAGGCGACGAUCAGUAGCCGACUUGAGAGAGUGAUCGGCCACAUUGGGACUGAGACACGGCCCAAACUCCUACGGGU